RNAcentral lists this ribosomal RNA (351 nucleotides) under uncultured bacterium. Its description in RNAcentral is "partial 16S ribosomal RNA". It matches the Rfam family "Bacterial small subunit ribosomal RNA", at positions 355 to 698 of the family's 1533-position model. The record is from RNAcentral.
UGGGGAAUAUUGGACAAUGGGCGAAAGCCUGAUCCAGCCAUGCCGCGUGUGUGAAGAAGGUCUUCGGAUUGUAAAGCACUUUAAGUUGGGAGGAAGGGCAUUAACCUAAUACGUUAGUGUUUUGACGUUACCGACAGAAUAAGCACCGGCUAACUCUGUGCCAGCAGCCGCGGUAAUACAGAGGGUGCAAGCGUUAAUCGGAAUUACUGGGCGUAAAGCGCGCGUAGGUGGUUUGUUACGUUGGAUGUGAAAUCCCCGGGCUCAACCUGGGUGCUGCAUUCAAAACUGACUGACUAGAGUAUGGUAGUGGGUGGUGGAAUUUCCUGUGUAGCGGUGAAAUGCGUAGAUAUA